Molecule: ribosomal RNA, 1226 nt
Filed under: Schmidtea mediterranea
Lineage: Eukaryota; Metazoa; Platyhelminthes; Tricladida; Dugesiidae
Description: SSU rRNA
Rfam family: Eukaryotic small subunit ribosomal RNA (bases 544-1226)
Source: RNAcentral
GUGACGUUUUUGACAGAAAGCAAUGAUUUCGCCGAUAAAUCUUGGGAUUUAAUCAAAGUUUGUGACUGAAUAAAAUAUUUGCAAAUAAAGAUUCAUCAGUGAAAUUAUUCUGUUGGAAAAUAUUGAAUAUGGAAUUUGGAAGAUUGUCCAAGGUUUUUUCGUUUUAAAAAUAUUAAAAAUUCCAAUUUUUAUAAGCGAUUAUUUCUUAGGUUGUUUUAUGAUUUUGAAAUAUUUCAAUUCGUUUUAUUUUGAAAAUUUUCACUUGUACUUUAAAAAAACAAAAUAUAAUUUUCUCCAAGGAUUUUCUCGGUUAGAAGUUGGUUUAUGGAUUUGAUAUUUUUUAUUGUUAAUUUUAAUGAAUUGUUUGCAGAUCCAAAUGCUAUAUUAGUAUCCAGGACCGGCGGAUACUUUAGAAGGGACUGGGUUCAAAAUUUGCGAAGUGUUGAAAAAACAAAAGUACAUUUAAAUAAUUUCUUAUAAAAUAUUACAACCGAUAUUUCUUCUUUCUAUAAGUCACCGGGAAACCAAAGUCUUUGGGUUCCGGGGGAAGUAUGGUUGCAAAGCUGAAACUUUAAGGAAUUGACGGAAGGGCACCACAAGGAGUGAAGCCUGCGGCUUAUUUUGACUCAACACGGGAAAUCUCACCCGGUCCGGACACUGUGAAGAUUGACAGAUUGAUAGCUCUUUCUUGAUUCGGUGGGUGGUGGUGCAUGGCUGUUCUUAGUUCGUGGAGCGAUUUGUCAGGUUAAUUCCGAUAACGAACGAGACUCUGACUUACUAAAUAGUGAAUUUAUAUCCAAUUGUAAAUUCUCACUUCUUAAAAGAAUAAAUAGCAUUUAGCUAUAUGAAAUAGAGCAAUAACAGAUCUGUGAUGCCCUUAAAUGUUCGGGGCCGCACGCGCGCUACAAUGGCAGUACUAACAAGUUUUCCUAACUAGAAAUAGUCGGGUAAUCUCUUAAAACACUGUCGUAUCAGGGAUUGUGAAUUGAAAUUAUUUCACAUGAACGAGUAAUUCCUAGUAAGCGCAAGUCACUAGCUUGCGCUGAUUACGUCCCUGCCCUUUGUACAAAUCGCACGUCGCUACUACCGAUUGAAUGGUUUAGUGAGAUUGUUGGAUUCUGAUCUAAGAAAUGGUAACAUUUCUAUGAAUGGGAAAGACACUCAAACUUGAUCAUUUAGAGGAACUAAAAGUCGUAACAAGGUUUCCGUAGGUGAACCUGCGGAAG